Fukomys damarensis (Damara mole-rat) is the source of this 1446-nucleotide long non-coding RNA. RefSeq lists it as uncharacterized. NCBI's taxonomy places the organism in Eukaryota, Metazoa, Chordata, Mammalia, Rodentia, Bathyergidae. The transcript has 3 exons. The record is from RefSeq and is a predicted model, not a curated record.
CUUUGUAAAUUACCCAGUCUCAAGUAUUUUGUUACAGAAACUAAAGAACAAACUAAGACAGGAGGUAAUGAUGUCAGUCAAAGACACCUAGUUCACAGCAUAGAGACAAGUAUACAUCUACUAAAGUGUGUGGGCAAAACCCCGUGGGACUACUAUAUAACAAUAGGAUAUAGCAUUUUCACUUUUGUGUCCACCUGUACAGGUUUACUUGCAAGAUAAGUUUGAGGAAAUCAACAGCGAAGUUUGCUGGAGGAAGAAGGAUGCUGAUUAGCACGAGCCCCUGGAUUAAACAGUUUGUUUAGAUGGAGCUUGAAUCUCAAAAAGUGGCCAAAGAAAACUGACAGAAGAGCUAAGAGAAAUCACUCCUGAUCCAUUUACAUUGUGAAGCAUUUAGAAAGGAAACACCACUCUACUGUUUGGGGGAUUUAUUGCAUUUUUCCCUGAAUUUGCUUUUUAAAUCCUGCAUCUGUCUCUGUAAUAUUAAGUUUCUCCAAAGCAUUCGGUUUGUGCUGGGGUCAGAGAGUGGAGAAACUGUGAUGUUUCGCUGCAUCUCAGAAUAGCCUGUUCAGCAGAGGACACUCACAAUGAAUAAUGGAGAGACACAGCCACAGAGAGGAAGAUCUCACCUCAAAGGAAAAUAAAGCCGAUUCACAAUCAUCCCAAUAUUUCAGUUGUUUUCUGGGCCAGUUAAGUGAGAAUGUGAAGGGGCUGUGACUUCCAACUCCUCGUGAUGACAUCUGCAUGUGUCUCAUGACAGCACGGUGUUGCUGCUGGGACUUGUUUGCCUGUUUGCCUGAGAAGACAAGAGUUGCUGACCUCAGGAAUUAAUGCUCACGCUGAUGCUCGAGCAGAGGCAGUGCUAUGGUUUGGACGUGUGCCUGAUUUUCAUGUGUUGGAAACUUAAUCCCCAGUGUAACAAUGCUGAAAGGUGGAACUUUUAAGAGGUGAUUAGGUCUAGAGGACUCUGUCCUGAUGGAUGGGUUAAUGUCAUUAGCAUUAGAGUGAGUUCUGUAUGAACGUGAGUUGGGCUCCCUCUUGUCCUCCCUUGCCCUUUUGCCUUCUGUCAUGGGACAAGGCGAUAUGAAAACCUAAACCAUUCUCUUAGACGUCCCAACCUCCAAAACUGUAAGAAGUAAAUUUCUGUUCUUUAUGAAUUACUCUGUCUCAGAUAGUCUGUUAUAGUGACACAAAUGGACUAAAACUGACAGUAAAAUUGUCUCAGAAAGACUGAAAAGGAAAGAGACUGAAAGGAAAGACUGAGAAGUUCUCAGAGACUGACUGGGAAAGAGGAGCCAGAAUCCUGGAAGCUCAUGCUGUCAGGGAACUUUGCAUAUUUUUAGUCUGAUAUUUGGAUGUGCAUUCUAUGGGUAAAGAGCCUUUUAGGAAACCGCAAAUGAAGCAGGAUGCAGCUAAAUGCUCUGAAAGAAAGAAGCAGGAAUUCAAGUC